RNAcentral lists this ribosomal RNA (229 nucleotides) under uncultured bacterium. RNAcentral's name for it is "partial 16S ribosomal RNA". It matches the Rfam family "Bacterial small subunit ribosomal RNA", at positions 568 to 796 of the family's 1533-position model. The record is from RNAcentral.
UACGUAGGCGGAAUAUUAAGUCAGUGGUGAAAUCCUGCAGCUUAACUGUAGAAUUGCCAUUGAUACUGAUCUUCUUGAAUUUAGUUGAGGUGGGCGGAAUGUGUAAUGUAGCGGUGAAAUGCUUAGAUAUUACACAGAACACCGAUUGCGAAGGCAGCUCACUAAACUAACAUUGACGCUAAGGUACGAAAGCGUGGGGAGCGAACCGGAUUAGAUACCCGAGUAGUCC